This 501-nucleotide ribosomal RNA is filed under the name uncultured bacterium. RNAcentral's name for it is "partial 16S ribosomal RNA". It matches the Rfam family "Bacterial small subunit ribosomal RNA", at positions 28 to 507 of the family's 1533-position model. The record is from RNAcentral.
GACGAACGCUGGCGGCGUGCUUAACACAUGCAAGUCGAACGGUGAAGCACCUUCCUUUUGGUGGGUGUGGAUGAGUGGCGAACGGGUGAGUAACACGUGAGUAACCUGCCCCCUUCUUCUGGAUAACCGCAUGAAAGUGUGGCUAAUACGGGAUAUUCUGUGCCUGCUGCAUGGUGGGUGUGGGAAAGAUGCGCUUUUGGGUGUUUUUGGUGGGGGAUGGGCUCGCGGCCUAUCAGCUUGUUGGUGGGGUGAUGGCCUACCAAGGCGGUGACGGGUAGCCGGCCGGAGAGGGUGGACGGUCACACUGGGACUGAGACACGGCCCAGACUCCUACGGGAGGCAGCAGUGGGGAAUAUUGCACAAUGGGCGCAAGCCUGAUGCAGCGACGCCGCGUGAGGGAUGGAGGCCUUCGGGUUGUAAACCUCUUUCGCCAGUGAAGCAGGCCUGUCCCUUGUGGGUGGGUUGACGGUAGCUGGAUAAGAAGCGCCGGCUAACUACGUG